This 22-nucleotide non-coding RNA is filed under the name Arabidopsis thaliana (thale cress). The record is from RNAcentral. Lineage: Eukaryota; Viridiplantae; Streptophyta; Magnoliopsida; Brassicales; Brassicaceae.
UGCUUUUUUCAUCCCAAAUUUG